CCUACGGGAGGCAGCAGUGAGGAAUAUUGGUCAAUGGGCGGGAGCCUGAACCAGCCAAGUCGCGUGAGGGAAGAUGGUCCUAUGGAUUGUAAACCUCUUUAGGCGGGGAGCAAUGCCGGGCACGCGUGCCCGGAGGGAGAGUACCCGCAGAAUAAGCAUCGGCUAACUCCGUGCCAGCAGCCGCGGUAAUACGGAGGAUGCGAGCGUUAUCCGGAUUUAGUGGGUUUAAAGGGUGCGUAGGCGGAUUUUUAAGUCAGCGGUAAAAUGUCCGGGCUCAACCCGGGCCGGCCGUUGAAACUGGGGAUCUUGAGUGGGCGAGAAGUAUGCGGAAUGCGUGGUGUAGCGGUGAAAUGCAUAGAUAUCACGCAGAACUCCGAUUGCGAAGGCAGCAUACCGGCGCCCGACUGACGCUGAGGCACGAAAGCGUGGGGAUCGAACAGGAUUAGAUACCCGGGUAGUC
RNAcentral lists this ribosomal RNA (460 nucleotides) under uncultured bacterium. RNAcentral describes it as "partial 16S ribosomal RNA". It matches the Rfam family "Bacterial small subunit ribosomal RNA", at positions 338 to 795 of the family's 1533-position model. The record is from RNAcentral.